Molecule: ribosomal RNA, 253 nt
Filed under: uncultured bacterium
Lineage: Bacteria
Description: partial 16S ribosomal RNA
Rfam family: Bacterial small subunit ribosomal RNA
Source: RNAcentral
UACGUAGGGUGCAAGCGUUGUCCGGAUUUAUUGGGCGUAAAGAGCUCGUAGGCGGUCUGUCGCGUCGGAUGUGAAAACCCAGGGCUCAACCCUGGGCCUGCAUUCGAUACGGGCAGACUAGAGUACGGCAGGGGAGACUGGAAUUCCUGGUGUAGCGGUGAAAUGCGCAGAUAUCAGGAGGAACACCGGUGGCGAAGGCGGGUCUCUGGGCCAACACUGACGCUCAGGCACGAAAGCGUGGGGAGCAAACAGG